AUGAACGCUGGCGGCGUGCCUAAUACAUGCAAGUCGAGCGAACGGACGAGAAGCUUGCUUCUCUGAUGUUAGCGGCGGACGGGUAAGUAACACGUGGAUAACCUACCUAUAAGACUGGGAUAACUUCGGGAAACCGGAGCUAAUACCGGAUAAUAUUCUGAACCGCAUGGUUCAAAAGUGAAAGACGGUCUUGCUGUCACUUAUAGAUGGAUCCGCGCUGCAUUAGCUAGUUGGUAAGGUAACGGCUUACCAAGGCAACGAUGCAUAGCCGACCUGAGAGGGUGAUCGGCCACACUGGAACUGAGACACGGUCCAGACUCCUACGGGAGGCAGCAGUAGGGAAUCUUCCGCAAUGGGCGAAAGCCUGACGGAGCAACGCCGCGUGAGUGAUGAAGGUCUUCGGAUCGUAAAACUCUGUUAUUAGGGAAGAACAUAUGUGUAAGUAACUGUGCACAUCUUGACGGUACCUAAUCAGAAAGCCACAGCUAACUACGUG
Molecule: ribosomal RNA, 496 nt
Filed under: uncultured bacterium
Lineage: Bacteria
Description: partial 16S ribosomal RNA
Rfam family: Bacterial small subunit ribosomal RNA
Source: RNAcentral